AAAGGCAAAAGUUGGAUUCCCAACUCUGAGUGCGACAAGAUCAUCCCUCCAGAAAGGAAAAAUGCAGCUUGGGACCAUGGCAUCAUGUGCAAAUGUCUUGCCGGGCUGCUUUGUGGCGCUCUUAGUGCAUGUGCAAGCAGGCAGCA
Non-coding RNA from Lepisosteus oculatus (spotted gar), 146 nucleotides. The record is from RefSeq and is a predicted model, not a curated record. Lineage: Eukaryota; Metazoa; Chordata; Actinopteri; Semionotiformes; Lepisosteidae.